Molecule: ribosomal RNA, 407 nt
Filed under: uncultured bacterium
Lineage: Bacteria
Description: partial 16S ribosomal RNA
Rfam family: Bacterial small subunit ribosomal RNA
Source: RNAcentral
AUUGAACGCUGGCGGCAGGCCUAACACAUGCAAGUCGAGCGGAGCGGCGGACGGGUGAGUAAUGCCUAGGAAUCUGCCUGGUAGUGGGGGACCACGUCCGGAAACGGGCGCUAAUACCGCAUACUAUCAGAUGAGCCUCGGUCGGAUUAGCUAGUUGGUGGGGUAAAGGCCUACCAAGGCUACGAGCCGUAACUGGUCUGAGAGGGUGAUCGGUCACACUGGAACUGAGACACGGGCCAGACUCCUACGGGAGGCAGCAGUGGGGAAUAUUGGACAAUGGACGAAAGCCUGAUCCAGCCAUGCCGCGUGUGUGAAGAAGGUCUUCGGAUUGUAAAGCACUUUAGGUUGGGAAGCGGUACCAACAGAGUAAGCACCGGCUAACUACGUGCCAGCAGCCGCGGUAAUUC